RNAcentral lists this ribosomal RNA (884 nucleotides) under Aspergillus sojae. RNAcentral describes it as "SSU rRNA". It matches the Rfam family "Eukaryotic small subunit ribosomal RNA", at positions 560 to 1472 of the family's 1831-position model. The record is from RNAcentral. Lineage: Eukaryota; Fungi; Ascomycota; Eurotiomycetes; Eurotiales; Aspergillaceae.
UCUGGUGCGACGCAGCCGCGGUAAUUCCAGCUCCAAUAGCGUAUAUUAAAGUUGUUGCAGUUAAAAAGCUCGUAGUUGAACCUUGGGUCUGGCUGGCCGGUCCGCCUCACCGCGAGUACUGGUCCGGCUGGACCUUUCCUUCUGGGGAACCUCAUGGCCUUCACUGGCUGUGGGGGGAACCAGGACUUUUACUGUGAAAAAAUUAGAGUGUUCAAAGCAGGCCUUUGCUCGAAUACAUUAGCAUGGAAUAAUAGAAUAGGACGUGCGGUUCUAUUUUGUUGGUUUCUAGGACCGCCGUAAUGAUUAAUAGGGAUAGUCGGGGGCGUCAGUAUUCAGCUGUCAGAGGUGAAAUUCUUGGAUUUGCUGAAGACUAACUACUGCGAAAGCAUUCGCCAAGGAUGUUUUCAUUAAUCAGGGAACGAAAGUUAGGGGAUCGAAGACGAUCAGAUACCGUCGUAGUCUUAACCAUAAACUAUGCCGACUAGGGAUCGGGCGGUGUUUCUAUGAUGACCCGCUCGGCACCUUACGAGAAAUCAAAGUUUUUGGGUUCUGGGGGGAGUAUGGUCGCAAGGCUGAAACUUAAAGAAAUUGACGGAAGGGCACCACAAGGCGUGGAGCCUGCGGCUUAAUUUGACUCAACACGGGGAAACUCACCAGGUCCAGACAAAAUAAGGAUUGACAGAUUGAGAGCUCUUUCUUGAUCUUUUGGAUGGUGGUGCAUGGCCGUUCUUAGUUGGUGGAGUGAUUUGUCUGCUUAAUUGCGAUAACGAACGAGACCUCGGCCCUUAAAUAGCCCGGUCCGCGUUUGCGGGCCGCUGGCUUCUUAGGGGGACUAUCGGCUCAAGCCGAUGGAAGUGCGCGGCAAUAACAGGUCAGUGAGGCCC